CCAUGUUGGUUUAUUUGUAGAUCUUGUCUUAAUUGCUGAUAUUUUUUUCAUUUAUUAUAGUUUUCAAGAUUGUACUUGUAGUCAAAACAAAAACUGAAAAAUGUUAAAAUUCACCAUCAAAGAGCGAUAACUCUAAUAAAGAGAAGACUGAGGAUUGAGGUCAUGCUGACUUAUUUGUAGAACUUGUAUUGCUACUCGUAUUAUAAAGAUUGUGGGAUAGUUUCGAUAAAUUGGAAUAUGGAGUUUAGGAGGAGCUGUCUAUAUAUUAAAAAAAAAGUCCAUGCUAUAAAAUGAAACCCCAAUUCUGAUCAAGACACAAAAAGUGUACAACAGCACUAAUACAUGGCUAAGUCAAGAUUAAGUAUAGGUUUCUAUGUAAUCAGUUUUAGCUCGAUUAAAAAUACAGAUGAUGAAUUGCAUUUCUUCUUUCAAAGCAUAAGAAUUAAAAAUGCAAAUGUCACUUUUAUUUUUUUCUUUCAAAAUAUUGCCUGUAUGAGUUUUAACUAACAAAAAACAAAUACAAUUAUACAUUAGCAAUCGAACAAUUAAUUAAAUUUUCAACAGGUUCAAAGCCUUGUUGUUCCUUUUUAAAGCGGUCAAUGGAACUGAAGAGAAAGGACUCUUGAUUCACUGAUUCUUAUACGCUUUGUUGUAAAUAUGUUAUAAUUUAUAUUUCGUUUAUCACUUUUUCACAAGCUUUACGUUUUACGACAAUAAAGAUUUAUGAUUAAAAUAUUGUGUUGCAUACUGUAUUGCUGUUAACAGUUUACGUUUUGUAAUUAGUACAUUAGUACAUCAU
RNAcentral lists this long non-coding RNA (799 nucleotides) under Mytilus galloprovincialis (Mediterranean mussel). The record is from RNAcentral. Lineage: Eukaryota; Metazoa; Mollusca; Bivalvia; Mytilida; Mytilidae.